AGUAACCUGCCCUUGACUCUGGGAUAAGCCUGGGAAACUGGGUCUAAUACCGGAUAUGACUCCUCAUCGCAUGGUGGGGGGUGGAAAGCUUUUGUGGUUUUGGAUGGACUCGCGGCCUAUCAGCUUGUUGGUGGGGUAAUGGCCUACCAAGGCGACGACGGGUAGCCGGCCUGAGAGGGUGACCGGCCACACUGGGACUGAGACACGGCCCAGACUCCUACGGGAGGCAGCAGUGGGGAAUAUUGCACAAUGGGCGAAAGCCUGAUGCAGCGACGCCGCGUGAGGGAUGACGGCCUUCGGGUUGUAAACCUCUUUCAGUAGGGAAGAAGCCGUAAGGUGACGGUACCUGCAGAAGAAGCGCCGGCUAACUACGUGCCAGCAGCCGCGGUAAUACGUAGGGCGCAAGCGUUAUCCGGAAUUAUUGGGCGUAAAGAGCUCGUAGGCGGUUUGUCGCGUCUGCUGUGAAAGACCGGGGCUCAACUCCGGUUCUGCAGUGGGUACGGGCAGACUAAAGUGCAGUAGGGGAGACUGGAAUUCCUGGUGUAGCGGUG
Molecule: ribosomal RNA, 551 nt
Filed under: Arthrobacter sp. hata14
Lineage: Bacteria; Bacillati; Actinomycetota; Actinomycetes; Micrococcales; Micrococcaceae
Also listed under: 3 other names
Description: bacterial SSU rRNA
Rfam family: Bacterial small subunit ribosomal RNA
Source: RNAcentral